GUGUAAAUCGUCAUUGCUGCGGUUAAAAAGCUCGUAGUUGGAUCUGAGUUGCAUGCAAUGAUUCGCCUUUGGCGUUAAUCAUUGUUGUGACUAUUUGCUGGUUUUCUAUUGAAAUUUCGAUUUCUUUAGUGGCUAGCGAGUUUACUUUGAAUAAAUUAAAGUGCUCAGAACAAGCGUUUGCUUGAAUGGUCGAUCAUGGAAUAAUAAAAGAGGACUUCGGUUCUAUUUAUUGGUUCAGGAACUGAAGUAAUGAUUAAGAGGGACAAUUCGGGGGCAUUCGUAUCCCUGCGCGAGAGGUGAAAUUCGUGGACCGCAGGGGGACGCCCUAAAGCGAAAGCAUUUGCCAAGAAUGUCUUCAUUAAUCAAGAACGAAAGUCAGAGGUUCGAAGGCGAUUAGAUACCGCCCUAGUUCUGACCGUAAACUAUGCCAUCUAGCGAUCCGAUGGGGUAUUGUUGCCUUGUCGAGGAGCUUCCCGGAAACGAAAGUCUUUCGGUUCCUGGGGUAGUAUGGUUGCAAAGCUGAAACUUAAAGAAAUUGACGGAAUGGCACCACCAGGAGUGGAGCCUGCGGCUUAAUUUGACUCAACACGGGAAAACUCACCCGGCCCGGACACCGUAAGGAUUGACAGAUUGAAAGCUCUUUCUCGAUUUGGUGGUUGGUGGUGCAUGGCCGUUCUUAGUUGGUGGAGCGAUUUGUCUGGUUUAUUCCGAUAACGAGCGAGACUCUAGCCUGCUAAAUAGUGACUAGAUUAUUGAGUCUAGUCUACUUCUUAGAGGGAUAAGCGGUGUUUAGCCGCACGAGAUUGAGCGAUAACAGGUCUGUGAUGCCCUUAGAUGUCCGGGGCUGCACGCGCGCUACAAUGGAAGAAUCAGCUGGCCUAUCCAUUGCCGAAAGGUAUUGGUAAACCGUUGAAACUCUUCCGUGACCGGGAUAGGGAAUUGUAAUUAUUUCCCUUGAACGAGGAAUUCCUAGUAAGUGUGAGUCAUCAGCUCACGCUGAUUACGUCCCUGCCAUUUGUACACACCGCCCGUCGCUGUCCGGGACUGA
Molecule: ribosomal RNA, 1048 nt
Filed under: Angiostrongylus mackerrasae
Lineage: Eukaryota; Metazoa; Nematoda; Chromadorea; Rhabditida; Metastrongylidae
Description: SSU rRNA
Rfam family: Eukaryotic small subunit ribosomal RNA
Source: RNAcentral